ACCUGACUGCUAUCGGGAUACGACUAAGCCAUGCAAGUCGAAUGGUUCUCGCAACCAUGGCAUACUGCUCAGUAACACGUAGAUAACUUACCCUAGGGUUGGGGAUAAUCCCGGGAAACUGGGCAUAAUCCCCAAUAGAUAAGUUGUACUGGAAUGUCUCCUUAUCCAAACCUCCGGGGCCCUAGGACGGGUCUGCGGCGGAUUAUGGUAGUAGGUGGGGUAAUGGCCCACCUAGCCUUUGAUCCGUACCGGACAUGAAAGUGUGUGCCGGGAGAUGGCCACUGAGACAAGGGGCCAGGCCCUACGGGGUGCAGCAGGCGCGAAAACUCUGCAAUGCCCGACAGGGUGACAGGGGAAUCCCGAGUGCUUCCUCAGCCGGAAGCUUUUCUCGAGUGUAGUGUUCUCGAGGAAUAAGGA
RNAcentral lists this ribosomal RNA (417 nucleotides) under uncultured microeukaryote. RNAcentral describes it as "bacterial SSU rRNA". It matches the Rfam family "Archaeal small subunit ribosomal RNA", at positions 21 to 441 of the family's 1478-position model. The record is from RNAcentral.